RNAcentral lists this non-coding RNA (146 nucleotides) under Bacillus sp. (in: firmicutes). RNAcentral's name for it is "Bacillus sp. FMN sequence". It matches the Rfam family "FMN riboswitch aptamer (RFN element)". From Rfam's summary of the family: The RFN element is a highly conserved domain that is found frequently in the 5'-untranslated regions of prokaryotic mRNAs that encode for flavin mononucleotide (FMN) biosynthesis and transport proteins. This element is a metabolite-dependent riboswitch that directly binds FMN in the absence of proteins. Lineage: Bacteria; Bacillati; Bacillota; Bacilli; Caryophanales; Bacillaceae. The record is from RNAcentral.
GAAUUCCUUCGGGGCAGGGUGAAAUUCCCUACCGGCGGUGAUGAACCAGAUGGUUCUUAGUCCGUGACCCGUCAUUUUAAUUAAUGACGGUGGAUUUGGUGAAAUUCCAAAGCCGACAGUGAAAGUCUGGAUGGGAGAAGGAAGAG